GGGGGGUGCUGCGGGGAAGGCGGGGGACCCGGGACUUCCAAGUGUGUCUGGUUUCCCGCAGAAUCCAGCCUCUGUCCACGUGAACUCUGCUCUGUCCUCUGGGCUCAUAAUGUUCUGAGACUCUUGCUGCCUCUUUCAUGGAUUCCCCUUCUAUUUCCCUGAGACGACUCACAGGUCACAGAAAGCUGCCUCCCAUCCUUGCGGCUCCAUCAAGGUGCUUUGGAGGCAGGUAAAGCGCAGUCUGGCCAUGGAGGCAUGGUAUCCGUAACAUCCCCCAAAGGAGCUAAAGAAGAAAUCCACAAUUUACCAUGAGCAUUUCUCGUCUGAAGAUUGCCAAGCGAUUCCUCCAGGACAUUCCUCAAGAUCAAUUUCUGUUCAUCCACCUUGUCCUGGGAGGGACAUCAAUGGGUUUCCAUGUCCUUUGGCUUCUGGUUGAGUUCACUCAGUGGAGAACCCUGGCAAGAGGCAGGAAAAGGGGAGGAAGGCUUUAUGAUACAUGUGUUGAAUGUGCAGGUUCGUUACAUAGGUGAAAACCAUCCAUUUCUUGGAGAAGUGCCACGGUGGGGUUGCAAGUCCCAGGAUCAAGUUUUCGAUGUGUCUCUUUUUCCCGUAAAGUGGCUGAAAUCUGAAGCUGAAUCUGCAAGUGUCAUGGAGUCAUUGAAUCUCACAGUCUCAACUGAUAAAAGUUAUUAAAGGUCGUCUGGUUCAGCCUUC
Molecule: long non-coding RNA, 714 nt
Organism: Homo sapiens (human)
Lineage: Eukaryota; Metazoa; Chordata; Mammalia; Primates; Hominidae
Gene: SOX9-AS1
Product: SOX9 antisense RNA 1
Source: Ensembl